UGAUCCUGACAUGCCGCGUGAGUGAAGAAGGCCUUCGGGUUGUAAAGCUCUUUUGUCAGGGAAGAACAGCAGCUCUAACACAGUUUGCGAAUGACGGUACCUGAAGAAUAAGCACCGGCUAACUACGUGCCAGCAGCCGCGGUAAUACGUAGGGUGCAAGCGUUAAUCGGAAUUACUGGGCGUAAAGCGUGCGCAGGCGGUUAUGUAAGACAGGCGUGAAAUCCCCGGGCUUAACCUGGGAAUUGCGCUUGUGACUGCAUAGCUAGAGUAUGUCAGAGGGGGGUAGAAUUCCACGUGUAGCAGUGAAAUGCGUAGAGAUGUGGAGGAAUACCAAUGGCGAAGGCAGCCCCCUGGGAUAAUACUGACGCUCAUGCACGAAAGCGUGGGGAGCAAACAGGAUUAGAUACCCUGGUAGUCCACGCCCUAAACGAUGCUGACUAGUUGUUCGGGAAUUUAUUCCUGAGUAACGUAGCUAACGCGUGAAGUCAGCCGCCUGGGGAGUACGGUCGCAAGAUUAAAACUCAAAGGAAUUGACGGGGACCCGCACAAGCGGUGGAUGAUGUGGAUUAAUUCGAUGCAACGCGAAAAACCUUACCUACCCUUGACAUGCCACUAACGAAUUAGAGAUACAUUAGGUGCCCGUAAGGGAAAGUGGCCCCGGUGCUGGUGGUUGGCGUCGCUCGGGUCGGAGAGGUGGGUAAGUCCGGAAGAGGGAACCUUGUUCUAUUGUAGCAGAGCUC
Molecule: ribosomal RNA, 740 nt
Filed under: uncultured bacterium
Lineage: Bacteria
Description: bacterial SSU rRNA
Rfam family: Bacterial small subunit ribosomal RNA
Source: RNAcentral